Molecule: ribosomal RNA, 426 nt
Filed under: uncultured bacterium
Lineage: Bacteria
Description: bacterial SSU rRNA
Rfam family: Bacterial small subunit ribosomal RNA
Source: RNAcentral
GGGGAAUUUUGGACAAUGGGGGCAACCCUGAUCCAGCCAUCCCGCGUGUGCGACGAAGGCCUUCGGGUUGUAAAGCACUUUUGGCAGGGAAGAAACAGCCUGGGCUAAUAUCCCGGGCGACUGACGGUACCUGCAGAAUAAGCACCGGCUAACUACGUGCCAGCAGCCGCGGUAAUACGUAGGGGGCAAGCGUUGUCCGGAUUUACUGGGUGUAAAGGGUGCUCAGGCGGAUUUGUAAGUCAGAGGUGAAAUCUUACAGCUUAACUGUGAAACUGCCUUUGAUACUGCAAGCCUAGAGUAUGGAAGAGAGUGAUGGAAUAUCUGGUGUAGCAGUGAAAUGCGUAGAUAUCAGAUAGAACACCAAUGGCGAAGGCAGUCACUUGGUCCAUUACUGACGCUAAAGCACGAAAGCGUGGGUAGCAAACA